AGAACGAACGCUGGCGGCAGGCUUAACACAUGCAAGUCGAACGGUUGUAGCAAUACAGCAGUGGCAGACGGGUGAGUAACACGUGGGAACCUUCCUAGGGGUACGGAACAACUCAGGGAAACUUGAGCUAAUACCGUAUACGUCCGUGAGGAGAAAGAUUUAUCGCCCCUAGACGGGCCCGCGUAGGAUUAGGUAGUUGGUGGAGUAGGCUACACGACG
Molecule: ribosomal RNA, 219 nt
Filed under: uncultured soil bacterium
Lineage: Bacteria
Description: partial 16S ribosomal RNA
Rfam family: Bacterial small subunit ribosomal RNA
Source: RNAcentral